GAUGAAGAACGUAGCGAAAUGCGAUAAGUAAUGUGAAUUGCAGAAUUCAGUGAAUCAUCGAAUCUUUGAACGCACAUUGCGCCCGCCAGUAUUCUGGCGGGCAUGCCUGUUCGAGCGUCAUUUCAACCACCAAGCCCCCGGCUUGUGUUGGGGACCUGCGGCUGCCGCAGGCCCUGAAAAGCAGUGGCGGGCUCGCUGUCACACCGAGCGUAGUAGCAUACAUCUCGCUCUGGGCGUGCUGCGGGUUCCGGCCGUUAAACCACCUUCAUAACCCAAGGUUGACCUCGGAUCAGGUAGGAAGACCCGCUGAACUUAAGCAUAUCAAUAGCGGAGGA
Molecule: unclassified non-coding RNA, 335 nt
Filed under: soil metagenome
Description: partial contains 5.8S ribosomal RNA, internal transcribed spacer 2, and large subunit ribosomal RNA
Rfam family: 5.8S ribosomal RNA (bases 1-120)
Source: RNAcentral